GGAACAACAGCUCAGUGGUAGAGCAUGUGCCUAGCAAGCAAGAGGUCCUGGGUUCAAUCCCCAGUCCUUUCA
Molecule: transfer RNA, 72 nt
Filed under: Camelus bactrianus (Bactrian camel)
Lineage: Eukaryota; Metazoa; Chordata; Mammalia; Artiodactyla; Camelidae
Also listed under: 3 other names
Rfam family: tRNA
About the family: Transfer RNA (tRNA) molecules are approximately 80 nucleotides in length. Their secondary structure includes four short double-helical elements and three loops (D, anti-codon, and T loops).
Source: Rfam by way of RNAcentral